Molecule: ribosomal RNA, 459 nt
Filed under: uncultured bacterium
Lineage: Bacteria
Description: partial 16S ribosomal RNA
Rfam family: Bacterial small subunit ribosomal RNA
Source: RNAcentral
CCUACGGGUGGCAGCAGUGAGGAAUAUUGGUCAAUGGUCGGGAGACUGAACCAGCCAAGCCGCGUGAGGGAGGAAGGUACAGAGUAUCGUAAACCUCUUUUGUCAGGGGACAAAGGCGUGGACGUGUCCCCGGAUGAGUGUACCUGAAGAAAAAGCAUCGGCUAACUCCGUGCCAGCAGCCGCGGUAAUAGGGAGGAUGCGAGCGUUAUCCGGAUUUAUUGGGUUUAAAGGGUGCGCAGGCGGUCUGUUAAGUCAGCGGUCAAAGCCCGGGGCUCAACCCCGGCCCGCCGUUGAAACUGGCAGGCUCGAGUUGGAGAGAAGUAUGCGGAAUGCGAGGUGUAGCGGUGAAAUGCAUAGAUAUCGCGCAGAACUCCGAUUGCGAAGGCAGCAUGCUGGCUCCACACUGACGCUGAGGCACGAAAGCGUGGGUAUCGAACAGGAUUAGAUACCCUAGUAGUC